This 274-nucleotide ribosomal RNA is filed under the name uncultured bacterium. RNAcentral's name for it is "partial 16S ribosomal RNA". It matches the Rfam family "Bacterial small subunit ribosomal RNA", at positions 523 to 796 of the family's 1533-position model. The record is from RNAcentral.
AUACGGAGGGUGCAAGCGUUGUCCGGAUUUAUUGGGUUUAAAGGGUGCGUAGGUGGCGUGUUAAGUCAGUGGUGAAAGCCUGCAGCUCAACUGUAGAGGUGCCAUUGAUACUGACAUGCUUGAGUAUGGACGAGUUAGGCGGAAUUUGUGGUGUAGCGGUGAAAAGCAUAGAUACCACAAAGAACACCGAUAGCGAAGGCAGCUUACUGGACCAUAACUGACACUGAGGCACGAAAGUGUGGGUAGCGAACAGGAUUAGAAACCCUAGUAGUCC